Molecule: transfer RNA, 73 nt
Filed under: Jaydia lineata (Indian perch)
Lineage: Eukaryota; Metazoa; Chordata; Actinopteri; Kurtiformes; Apogonidae
Description: tRNA-Lys
Rfam family: tRNA
About the family: Transfer RNA (tRNA) molecules are approximately 80 nucleotides in length. Their secondary structure includes four short double-helical elements and three loops (D, anti-codon, and T loops).
Source: RNAcentral
CGCUGAGAAGCUUAUACGGACAAGCAUUAGCCUUUUAAGCUAAAGAUAGGUGAUCACCAACCACCCUCAGUGA